This 370-nucleotide ribosomal RNA is filed under the name uncultured bacterium. RNAcentral's name for it is "bacterial SSU rRNA". It matches the Rfam family "Bacterial small subunit ribosomal RNA", at positions 8 to 378 of the family's 1533-position model. The record is from RNAcentral.
AGAGUUUGAUCCUGGCUCAGAUUGAACGCUGGCGGCAUGCCUUACACAUGCAAGUCGAACGGCAGCACGGGAGCAAUCCUGGUGGCGAGUGGCGAACGGGUGAGUAAUAUAUCGGAACGUGCCCAGUCGUGGGGGAUAACGCAGCGAAAGCUGUGCUAAUACCGCAUACGAUCUCUGGAUGAAAGCGGGGGACUCGCAAGGGCCUCGCGCGAUUGGAGCGGCCGAUAUCAGAUUAGCUAGUUGGUGGGGUAAAAGCCCACCAAGGCGACGAUCUGUAGCUGGUCUGAGAGGACGACCAGCCACACUGGAACUGAGACACGGUCCAGACUCCUACGGGAGGCAGCAGUGGGGAAUUUUGGACAAUGGGCGC